This is a long non-coding RNA of Brassica napus (rape), 2034 nucleotides long. RefSeq lists it as uncharacterized. The record is from RefSeq and is a predicted model, not a curated record. NCBI's taxonomy places the organism in Eukaryota, Viridiplantae, Streptophyta, Magnoliopsida, Brassicales, Brassicaceae. The transcript has 5 exons.
UGAAACACUCGAUCUCCUUCCCUCAUAAAGCCAAAUCCGAUCACAUAUCUAUAUAAUAGAGAUAUAUACAUGUUCAGAUUCCUUAAAAAGCUAGAGUUUUAUUCGAGAUUUGGUAGAUUGUAUAAUCGCCAGAUGUCUUCUUCCGAAAUUAGGGAACAGAAGAACCAACCGCCAUCUCUGAUCUCAUCUCUCCCCGAAGAAAUCUUCAUCGACAUCGUAGCGCCGUGCCUCUCGAUCCUAUUACCCGAAUCUCUCCCAAGCCUCCAUGUGUUUCCGAUCACUCAUGGAGAAGAAAGGGAGAAGACACUCUCUGACAUCGCCAAAGCAUGCAAAGAAUGGGGUUUCUUUCAGCUGGUGAGCCAUGGGACUCCACUGGACCUUCUGAACAAAGUUAAGGAGCUGAGCUCAGACUGCUACAAAUACAGAGAGAGAAGAAGCGUCCAAGACUUCAACACCCGUGAAGCUGCUCAACGAACUGCUUGAGAAAAACUCUGGAGAGAAGCUCGAAAGCGUUGACUGGGAAGAUGUUUUCACUCUCCUAGACCAUAACCAAAACGAGUGGCCAUCCAACACUUCUGGCCUCAAAGAGACGAUGUUGGAAUACAUAGGAGAAGUGAUGAAGCUAGCGAGGAAGAUGAUGGAAGUGAUGGAUUAGAAUCUGGGUUUGCCUAAAGGUUACAUAAAGAAAGCUUUAAACGAAGGGAUGGAAGAUGGUGAAGAGAAGGCUUUCUUUGGAAAAGUUAAAUGUGACAAUACAUUAACUAUGGAAGGCGUUUCCAGUGGGGUCUUUGGUUGUCCUUUUGUACCUCAUACUACUUCUGGUUUCAGAUUUUAACUCUGCAGGCAUCAAAUUUGACAUCUGAAGAUCUGUCUUUAACGGUUCUUGCUCCAACAUCCUUCACAUCACCUAUAAGCCCAUUCCUAAGAUUCUUUGAGUUCACAGAGAGGGUACAAACCGAAAACGCAAUACAACAACGUAUAAGUUCCAGUCGUUACUCUCAAUUCCACUAGAGCUUUUGUUUAAAGCAUCGAACUUGAAGGUUGGAUUUUGUGGUUACUAUUCUUAGAGGUUCACACAGUAGUCUAGAGGAGAUUUAGUGCCGUAAGAACUGCUAGACAGACUGUGGAGCGGUUCUUGCUGUUGGCGCAGCUUUAAGAUCUGAAGCAUUGAAGGAAGAAGUAUUAGCAACGAGUCUUCUAGAAGACAAUCCCUUGGCGGAGCUGAUAUUAUACUCAAACUGAAUGGCUUCUUCACCACUUACUAUCCUUCGGAGGCCACUAGAGCUACUUUUUAGUAGCGACAAGAAUCUAUAUCCUACAAAUAAAGAUGACGAACUCCCCAAUCUCUCCGCUUCAUCCAAGUCAUUAUAAUAUAUUCCUUACAAACCUUAGAACUUUGAAGACAUGUGGAGAUUCCCUCUUUCAUGGAGGAUGCAACCAAAUUCCAGUUACAUUACAUACUCAUCUUAACUGCAUAAGAUUCAACCGAACCAUCUUCAACUUCCCUCACACCGGCUUCCUAGGCAAAGAGACUGAUUCAGGUCUUACAUACUAAGAAACGCUCCAGCGUAGUUUGUUUUUCAAAUAAACCACGACUGGUAUCAAGACAACUUAAGACAUCUGGAUACGCUUAGAUAUACUGAAAGAAGCAGCAUCCGGUUUCAUGACAUGUCAUCAUCGUGAGGAAGAGCGGUUCCUUGAAUGCUCCGUUUCAGUGGAGUUCUGCUUGAUAUUUAUAACUGGAAUACACAUAGUAUGCUAACCCAGACGAGCUAUCCUCAUCAGUACACUGGAGAAUCACAAGAAAGACGCCAUGUCGCCAUCUGCUUCGUCAAGACUUUCCGGUUCAAGAUAGUCAAGAACCUUACUCGGAACGCUCUAAACGUUUAAGUACUAUAUAUUUUUUUUAAUGUUUUCGUUGUUACUAUGUGGAAACUGAAAAUGAGAUGUUAGAUUAGAUAGGAAAAUAUGUACUUUCAUUCAAUACAGUCAACACUAAAAAGAUUAAAAAGUUUAGUUAUUUCUUUAUUUUUA